Molecule: ribosomal RNA, 492 nt
Filed under: uncultured bacterium
Lineage: Bacteria
Description: partial 16S ribosomal RNA
Rfam family: Bacterial small subunit ribosomal RNA
Source: RNAcentral
AGUGAACGCUGGCGGUAGGCCUAACACAUGCAAGUCGAACGGCAGCACAGUAAGAGCUUGCUCUUACGGGUGGCGAGUGGCGGACGGGUGAGGAAUACAUCGGAAUCUACUUUUUCGUGGGGGAUAACGUAGGGAAACUUACGCUAAUACCGCAUACGACCUACGGGUGAAAGCAGGGGAUCUUCGGACCUUGCGCGAUUGAAUGAGCCGAUGUCGGAUUAGCUAGUUGGCGGGGUAAAGGCCCACCAAGGCGACGAUCCGUAGCUGGUCUGAGAGGAUGACCAGCGGGACGGGAACGUAGAAACGGUCCAGACUCGUACGGGAGGCAGCAGUGGGGAAUAUUGGACAAUGGGAGAAAGCCUGAUCCAGCCAUACCGCGUGGGUGAAAAAGGCCUUCGGGUGGUAAAGCCCUUUUGUUGGGAACGAAAAGCAGCAAGUUAAUACCCCGCUGUUCUGACGGUACCCAAAGAAUAAGCACCGGCUAACUUCGUG